AACGAACGCUGGCGGCAGGCCUCAUACAUGCAAGUCGAGCGAUUAAGACUCCUUCGGGAGUGUAUAAAGCGGCGAACGGGUGAGUAACAGGUGGAUGAUCUACCUUCCGGUGGGGGAUAACGGCUGGAAACGGCCGCUAAUACCGCCAUUCGGUUAAUACGCUGCGGCGUAUUAAAGAAAGGCGCUUCAAAGCGCCGCCGGGAGAUGAGUCCGCCCCCCAUUAGCUAGUUGGUGAGAUAACAGCUCACCAAGGCAACGAUGGGUAGCCGAACUGAGAGGUUGAUCGGCCACACUGGAACUGAGACACGGUCCAGACACCUACGGGUGGCAGCAGUAGGGAAUAUUGGGCAAUGGGCGAAAGCCUGACCCAGCCAUGCCGCGUGAGUGAUGAAGGUCCUAGAGAUUGUAAAACUCUUUUACUGAGGAAAGAAUAAAUAGGGAAGGAAAUGUCCUUAUUUUGACGGUACCUCAGGACUAAGGAACGGCUAACUCCGUGCCAGCAGCCGCGGUAAACUCG
Molecule: ribosomal RNA, 517 nt
Filed under: uncultured bacterium
Lineage: Bacteria
Description: bacterial SSU rRNA
Rfam family: Bacterial small subunit ribosomal RNA
Source: RNAcentral